RNAcentral lists this ribosomal RNA (329 nucleotides) under uncultured eukaryote. Its description in RNAcentral is "partial 18S ribosomal RNA". It matches the Rfam family "Eukaryotic small subunit ribosomal RNA", at positions 1470 to 1796 of the family's 1831-position model. The record is from RNAcentral.
CCCUUAGAUGUUCUGGGCUGCACGCGCGCUACAAUAGUACGAUCACUAGGUCUUCCUUUGCCGAAAGGCAUGGGUAAUCCUUGCAAACCGUACUUUGACCGGGCUUGACGAUUGUAACUUUUCGUCAUAAACGAGGAAUUCCUAGUAAACGGAACUCAUCAAGUUCCAUUGAUUACGUCCCUGCCCUUUGUACACACCGCCCGUCGCUCCUACCGAUUGAAUGAUCCGGUGAACACUCUGGAAUCGCGGAUUUCUGCGGGUUUUCCCAUCAGAAUCCAUCGGUGAAGUUGUGUAAAUCUUAUCAUUUAGAGGAAGGAGAAGUCGUAACA